This 468-nucleotide ribosomal RNA is filed under the name uncultured bacterium. RNAcentral describes it as "bacterial SSU rRNA". It matches the Rfam family "Bacterial small subunit ribosomal RNA", at positions 29 to 490 of the family's 1533-position model. The record is from RNAcentral.
AAUGAACGCUGGCGGCGCGCCUAAUAUAUGCAAGUCGAGCGAGAAGACGUAGCAAUACGUUUGUAAAGCGGCGAACGGGUGAGGAAUACAUGGGUAACCUACCCUAGAGUGGGGAAUAACUAGCCGAAAGGUUAGCUAAUACCGCGUACGCUCCUUGGACUUCGGUUCAGGGAGGAGAGCGAUACCGAGGGUAUCGCGCUCUUGGAUGGGCUCAUGUCCUAUCAGCUUGNGGUGAGGUAACGGCUCACCAAGGCUUCGACGGGUAGCUGGUCUGAGAGGACGAUCAGCCACACUGGCACUGCGACACGGGCCAGACUCCUACGGGAGGCAGCAGUAAGGAAUAUUGCGCAAUGGGCGAAAGCCUGACGCAGCGACGCCGCGUGGGGGAUGAAGGUCUUCGGAUUGUAAACCCCUUUCGGGUAGGGAAGAUGGAACGAGCAAUCGUUCGGACGGUACCUCCAGAAGCAG